AUCAACUUUCGAUGGUAGGAUAGAGGCCGACCAUGGUUUCAACGGGUAACGGGGAAUAAGGGUUCGAUUCCGGAGAGGGAGCCUGAGAAACGGCUACCACAUCCAAGGAAGGCAGCAGGCGCGCAAAUUACCCAAUCCCGACACGGGGAGGUAGUGACAAUAAAUAACAAUAUAGGGCUCUUUCGGGUCUUAUAAUUGGAAUGAGUACAAUUUAAAUCCCUUAACGAGGAACAAUUGGAGGGCAAGUCUGGUGCCAGCAGCCGCGGUAAUUCCAGCUCCAAUAGCGUAUAUUAAAGUUGUUGCAGUUAAAAAGCUCGUAGUUGAAUUUCGGGACCAAUAUGUCGGUCGUGCCUCGGUACGUACUGGCAUCGUUGGUUUCUCCCUUCUGACGAACCAUGAUGUCAUUUAUUUGGUGUCGUGGGGAAUCAGGACUGUUACUUUGAAAAAAUUAGAGUGUUUAAAGCAGGCUCACGCUUGAAUACAUUAGCAUGGAAUAAUGAAAUAGGACGUUUGAUUCUAUUUUGUUGGUUUCUAGGAUUGACGUAAUGAUUAAUAGGGAUAGUUGGGGGCAUUAGUAUUCAAUUGUCAGAGGUGAAAUUCUUGGAUUUAUUGAAGACUAACUACUGCGAAAGCAUUUGCCAAGGAUGUUUUCAUUAAUCAAGAACGAAAGUUAGGGGAUCGAAGACGAUCAGAUACCGUCGUAGUCUUAACCAUAAACUAUGCCGACUAGGGAUCGGAUGAUGUUAAUUUUUUAAUGACUCAUUCGGCGCCUUACGGGAAACCAAAGUGUUUGGGUUC
This 798-nucleotide ribosomal RNA is filed under the name uncultured Glomus. RNAcentral describes it as "SSU rRNA". It matches the Rfam family "Eukaryotic small subunit ribosomal RNA", at positions 314 to 1114 of the family's 1831-position model. The record is from RNAcentral. Lineage: Eukaryota; Fungi; Glomeromycota; Glomeromycetes; Glomerales; Glomeraceae.